This 1020-nucleotide long non-coding RNA is filed under the name Neodiprion lecontei (redheaded pine sawfly). Its description in RNAcentral is "uncharacterized LOC124295276". The record is from RNAcentral. Lineage: Eukaryota; Metazoa; Arthropoda; Insecta; Hymenoptera; Diprionidae.
GAGAAUUAUCAAAAAACCAUCGAAGAACGUUCAGUUGGAAGUUCAGCAGCUGAAGGAUGACGAAAACUGGAACGCCUCUGUGAUCGGAGAUGACAAUUUUGGCGACAAAGGUGACCGGGCGUGUGUACAGUGUGUAAAAAUUUCGGAUUUCGGUAAACCCAAUUUCGGAGUGUGAAUAAAACAAGUGAAGUGGAAGCAGCAGGAGAUUGGAGAAAUCGGAGGAACAUCCUUCAUCCUUCGCAGGCAGCAUCAACGGUGCAAGACGUCUCGAGAAAAUCUUUUGAAAGCAGUUCCGGACUUGAAAAAUCUCUUCAAAAUUCGGACGGAUCUGACUGGAAGGAGUUGACGAGAAGUAAAAAUUAGCCUCAAGUUGCUGUGCGGUCGAGUUAACUUGGUGUCGUUCCGAGUGUUCUACGAAAUGGUUCGUUCGGCUCACAAGGCGUUAUUCAUCUUCUUCGAUCAUUGUCGACUUAUCGCUGCAUACACAGCCAGGAUAUCAACAAAACGUUGCAGAGCAAAAAUGCAGCAAGAAUCGAUUGUUGGAACGAAACACGCGGAAUUUGGAUUCGAAUCGACGUAUAAUCGAGCGUCAAGUCGUAACCUGUACGCAUUCGACGAUAAGGUAAAUACGCGAUCUUGUUGACGUUCCGCUUCUUGAUUUUCAAGGUCAGUUUCGCGUCAGUCGAUUCUUGAGCCUCGCGGCGUCGGGACGCUGCUCAAGAAUUUACGCGUAUCGCGAGUAAUUUACGAGUGAAUAAGUGAACAAGUGUGAAUAAAAGUGAACAAGUGAAUAAAAGUGAACAAGUGAAUAACAAAUGUGAAGUGAGUGAUCGUGACGUGCGAGUUCAAUCGGACCUGGGUAAGAAAGCUUCGGCGUCGCAGUUUCUUCUUCUACACCUGUUAUCACCGUGCAGCUAAUGGAUCGUGUUUUGGUGACCUUUCCGCCGUGCUUGUGUUACGUCAUCUUUCAUCGAGGAGAGGCGGAAAUAUGAGGUAAUGGACCAUUAUUCUGAUCGUAUC